GCCCGGGUGGCUCAGCCGGUCAAGCUUCCGACUUCAGCUCGGGUCAUGAUCUCACAGUCUGUGGGUUCGAGCCCCGCGUCGGGCU
Felis catus (domestic cat) is the source of this 85-nucleotide transfer RNA. It matches the Rfam family "tRNA". From Rfam's summary of the family: Transfer RNA (tRNA) molecules are approximately 80 nucleotides in length. Their secondary structure includes four short double-helical elements and three loops (D, anti-codon, and T loops). The record is from Rfam. NCBI's taxonomy places the organism in Eukaryota, Metazoa, Chordata, Mammalia, Carnivora, Felidae.